RNAcentral lists this long non-coding RNA (5029 nucleotides) under Zostera marina. RNAcentral describes it as "long non-coding RNA (ZMAR_LNC003896)". Lineage: Eukaryota; Viridiplantae; Streptophyta; Magnoliopsida; Alismatales; Zosteraceae. The record is from RNAcentral.
AGGUUAGGGUUUUUAUUUGGAAGUUAGAACAAUUUGGGAUUUCUUUAUGGACAUACAAAAUUAAAAUAUUUAUUUUUCUUCUUCAGAUAAUUAAUUACUUGAAACUGUGACCUGACUUCUGAGAAUUCAAACUCAAUAGACUUUUUUGUAAAUUAUUUGGUUGAAUCAAAUUCAAAGAGGAGAAACAAGAUGAAAUCAUGUUCUUUCAAUUUUUUUUUUGAUAGUUAAUUGUGUCUGUAGGCUUGUUGUGAUAAGAUGAGGACUGAUGGUCAUCAUUUAUCUCAGUAUCUCAUAUAUAAACCCUAAAACCUACUUUGAAUGCAAUCAGAGGCCAUUUAAACACCAAUUGUAUGUUGGAAUAGAUGCCACCUGAUCAAGCUUUUUGACGCGGCCAGGCGACCAGGCGAUGCCUGAGACCGCAUACCGCAUAUGCGACCGCCUGGUCGCAUAUGCGGUCAAAUAUGCGACAUGUUAUUUUUAUUAUUUUUAUCAUUAUUUUUUCAAUAUACCCCCUGUAUUUUCUAUAUUUUAAAUAAAUCCUUGAUAUUUAAGUCAUAAUAAAAAUCAUAAAUGAAAUAAUAUAGUGACUAAUGAUACUUAAACUCUUAAAAUCACAAAAACUUAAAGAAACAUUCAAAACAACAAAACUAUUAGUUUCAAACAUCAAAGUACAAGUGUAAUGCAAACACUUAGUUCUUAGUUCUAAGUUCUAACUACACUAGUGUGUCGUCAAGUUCAUCUUCGACGUCAUUCAAGUGCGGAUCCAUCAAGAACUCAUCAUCAUCUUCAUGCUCGUCAUUUCUUCUUGCUCUUGUUGAUGGUCCUUCAUGCUCGGGUACACCACUAGCUUCCCAUACAUUAGCCCAUGUCAAACCACCAUCUUCGUAGACAAAUUCACCAGAUGCUCCAUCGACACCCAUUACCCAUUCACUAGAGUAAUUGAUAUCACUUAUAGCAAUGGGAUCAUAGGUCUUAUCGUCUGUUCGAUUUAUUUUCAGAAAUCGAUCUUUCAAACGUUCGUUGUAGUUAAUAUACACCAACUUGUGCAACCGAUCAACUUCCAAACGAUUUCUUCUUUUGGUGUGAAUCUGAUGAAAAAAAUAACUUGAAAUUUCAUUUACAUCACAUAAGCAUACUUGAUUUUUUAUUCAAAGUCGCAAGUACUUACAAAAUCGAAAGUGCUCCAGUUUCUCUCACAACUAGAAGCUGUCGUAGUAAGAUUUAUGAUCCUCGUUGCCAACAACAUCAAUUCCGGAGUUGACACCCCAAAGUUAGACCACCAAUUUACUGAAAUCAAACAUAGUGAGUGACACCCCUAAGGUCCUAAUUGCCUAAGUAAGAUUUUAAUAAUUCAAUCUUAAAUUCUGAAAUCACUUACUAGGAUCCGUUGUUGGAAGCGUGUCGAUGGCUACCUUCAUUGAGAAGUCACCUGUUUUAUUCUUGUAACAAAUGAGUUGUUCCAUGAUUUGUGAAUGCUCUUCAAGAGGUGUCAUUCUUAGCAUACAAUCUCUGAAAUCUUUUUCAUGUCUUAGUGCCUUCAUAAGCCCUUCUCUAGAUCUAUUUCAAAAGUAAGCAAUUAGUCUUUGAAAGUUGAAACCUUUAAAAAAAAAAAAGGUAAAAAGCUUACCCCUCCUUCAAAUCGUAGUAAAAAUGGGGGUUUAGAAAUGCAUCAGCUCCAAACAAAGGCUUCUGAAAAUGUUUGUCCCAACGCUUGGUGAAAAUCGCCUUUAGUUUAGUCAACAUCACCGGCUUACUUGCGGAAAAUGUUUGUCCCAACGCUCGGUGAAAAUCGCCUUUAGCUUAGUCAACAACACCGGCUUACUUGCGAAGUGAGUUUCAAUUCUUUUUCUUGCAACUUCCAAACGAGGAAUGACCUCUGCCAUUGAUGGUUUACUAUCUUCAUCAACCAAUCUCAACAAAAUCACCAAUGGUUCAGAAGCUGCCAUACAAUCAUCCAAAUUUUUCCAAAAAAUACUGUUGAAGAUAUGACCAUGAAUCUGUUGUCCAAUCCCAACAUCAAUCCAUUUACGUCAAUCUAAUGCACUUAAGGCAUCUCGAUGUUUCUUAAUGCUCUGUAAGAUGAGAAAUGAUGUAGCAAAUCGAGUAACCCCACAACGGACUAACUCUCUGUUGUUGGAUUUUUUCAAAAACUCGCAAUGUAUCAGUGAAUGAUUGUAAAUGUAGUUUGUGAUCUUACGACCCAUCACAAUAGCAUUCUUCAGAGAGCUAAUCUUCCCAAUGUCUUCUAACAUCAAAUCAAUACAGUGGGCGACACAAGGGGUCCAAUACAAAUGAUCAUAUUUCUCCAUUAGUUUCUCCCCAGCUUUAACGUAGUUGGUCGCAUUAUCAGUACAAAUUUGAACAACAUUUUUGACUCCUAUCCUUUGCAUCGCUUUAUCUAAGGUAGAUGCAAUGUAAUCGGCAGUUUUCGUUUCCGCUGAAGCGUCAAUAGAGUAUAAAUAGAAUGAACCCUUGCUUGAAUUCACUAUAAAGUUGAUAAUUGAUCUUCCCCUCUUAUCCGUCCAGCCAUCAGACAUGAGCGAACAACCAGAUAGACGCCAACAUUUUUCGUGGUCUUUCUUCAUUUCAUCAAUUUCUGUAACCACACCUUCUAGAAGAGAGCCGCGUAAUCUACUGAUAGUUGGAGGUGUAUAACCCCAACCAUACCUUCCAACAUAACGUGGAAAUCGAAACAAUCUCGUACAUUGAAAGGGAUGCCGGCGUUGUAGAAGAAUUUCGCCACACAGAUAUCAACAAUAAGCCUUUCCUCUUUUUUCAACUGCUCAACAAUUAAUGGUUGUUUUGCUCCCAUUCUAGAUCUCACAAUGUCACUUAAUUUCUGUCCUUCUUUUAUGGACAAUGCACCUACGGCCGCGUUGAUCGAACGGUUCGAACCUGAUGAUGAACCUAUUGACGGCUUCACAAUAGUUGACCGCUUCUUUGCUCUCUUCGGAAGUGCAUAAUUAUCUUCAACUAUCAAUACAUCAUCAUCAUCAUCACUAGAUUCUUCUUCCACAACUUUCUUAGACAUUUUCAUUGCCAUUGCUUUAGCCUUCCUCGUAUUCUCAUACUGAAGCACUUCAUUAUGAACAAAUUUAGUUGAUUUUAGACACUUCACGCAAUUGCGGUCGCCUCCAAUGAUAUGCCCUUUCAACCGAGCAAUCCCCGCUUUCGAAAUGAAAUGGCAAAAAAGACACUUCACCUUGUUUGAGUCUUUAUUCACCAUAACCUCAUAUUUCCAAGCUGGAUCAUUUGAUUUUGGUCUCAUCAAUGGGCUUGUUUUUUCUUCUUCAGUGGUUAAUGGAUGCCAUUUGAAUUUCUUGUUUCCCUCGUCAUCCAAUUCCACAUUUUCUUCAAAAACAUUCAUUGGCUCAUCUUCUCCAUGAUCCAUGGUUUGAAUUUGUUCUUAAGUCUGAAAUUUAAGAAAACAGAUUAAGAUAUUAAUAUGUGAAAUUUAAGGGAAAAAAUUCAGAUGUUAGCUCUGAAUUCCUCAAUUCCCGAUUUAAUUUCAGAUUUAAUCCCCAGUCUGAAAUUCUGAACAUAAUCGAUGUCAUCUUCAAAUUUAUAUUUCAUCGAUAUAAAUUUAUAUUCAGAAUCUGAUUAUAAAUUUAUAUUCAUCGAUAUAAAUUUGAAUUUCAGAUGACAUCUUCGAUUUAAUUCCCCACUCUAAAUAUAAUCGAUGUAAUCUUCAAAUUUAUAUUUCAUCGAUAUAAAUUUAUAUUCACAAUCUGAUUAUAAAUUUAUAUUCAUCGAUAUAAAUUUGAAUUUCAGAUGACAUCUUCGAUUUAAUUCCCCACUCUGAAUAUAAUCGAUGUCAUCUUCAAAUUUAUAUUUCAUCGAUAUAAAUUUAUAUUCACAAUCUGAUUAUAAAUUUAUAUUCAUCAUUCAUCAAUAUAAAUUUGAAUUUCAGAUGACAUCUUCGAUUUAAUUCCCCACUCUGAAAAUCGAUUAUAAAACCACAUAAUUUCCCAACAGAUUUAAUACCUAACUAUGUGUAGAAAAAUCCAGCAGCGGAAGGCUAGCAGCAGUGCAGCACGAUUCCGACUUUCUUCAGUAGCAGGCGCAGCGCUAGGCGGUUCAGACUUCAGGUGCCCGAUUUCCGUUCAGGUCUUCAGGUGUCCGACUUCAAGUCUUCAAGGAUUCACCGAUUUCAGAUUUCACGAUUUAGGGUUUUUACUUUUUAGUGUUUUUUAUUUAAAUGGGUCUUUUUAAUAAGGUCCUUAAAUUUUAAUAGAAUAAUACAAUUCAUUUGAAGUUUUUAAAUUUAAUAGGGUUAAUGGAUCGGGUUUAUCCGGAUCCGACCUGGAUCCGGCUAAACCCAAUAAUAUGCGACCCCCCAAAUAUGCGAUGGGGGGUUACCGCCUGGUCGCAUAUACGACAAAUCAAAAAGCUUGCACCUGAUAAACCUGCAGUAGAAUUUGAACUCACGACUCCAAUAGUUCAAUAGAAAGGGAAAGAUGUGAAUUUACCUAAUAUAAUAAUUAUUUCAUUGAUUGAUUUGAUACUUGAACGAUCUCAUAUUCAUCAGCAAAAAGUAGGUUUACCGAUGGAUAUUGGUACGAUCAUCUUUGAUUAUUUGCAGGAUUGGUAGUUGGUACAGAAAUUGUACGAGGCGAAUAAAAUUUGAAUUUGAUGUAAUUACAUUGGGUAUUUAAUUAUUUACCCAUAGUUUUGAAAGUGUCGCUUUGAGCUCUAGGAGGAGCGUUUUUUCCAGUGCUUUUCCAAGAAUGGGUAAUCGGACGAGUUCAGGCAAAGAUCCGCCUGAUUACUUAAUUACACCUAUUUUCACCUAUUCUAACUUAAAUUAAAAAUCCUUACCCCACUUUCAGAUUUUAGUUGAAUUUAAUUGUAGUUGUUGCCUGUUGGACGCUUGGAUUUAAUUAUAGUUGUAUGAAUUAAAUCUUGAAUGUUAGGGUUACAUGUGAUUUUAUACCUUUAUAAGGUAUUUUAAAUUUUCUAUAGGUUUUCUAUAUAUUUAUUUAUAGAGGAUUGAUUAUAUGUAUUUUUACAGGAUAUUACUAAAAUACCC